AAAACUAACCACGCUAGCACAGAUUAAAUAAUCUGUGACGCUAGUUUUAAAUCAUAUGAAUACGUUUUGAAUACAUGAGCGCCAGAAAACGACUCAUACCACCGUAUAGAAGUAGUGACACGCUGCAAAGGUUUUGUGACUUGACGCCGGGGCCUCAAUGUACCUACUUCCCAGGUCUCGUAGUUGGUCUCUACAAGGGUUAAAAUCUAGCUACUUCGAAGCGUUGACUGUCGUUUUAGGUUCUAGUCUGGUAUUUAUGUCCUUGGACGGAUGGACCAGUAAUAGGAGUGAUGGUGGAGUGGAAAUGGGCUUGUGUCUUGCAGAAACAAGGUGUGCAAUGUUGUGAUAUAUAGCAUGACAGUCAUGAAUGGGAAUAAUAAUGACAAUUUCAACUAUGCCCAUCAAAAGAAAAGCUAUAAAAUCAUACUGACUCAUCUUAGCUUUCAGGGGGCCAAAAUCUGCCUCCGUAUCCAGAAUUGGAAAAUAUCGCUAGUUAUUAUAAUUAUCUUUUUGGUAAGAGCACUGUUGAUUAUACUACCUAUAGUCUUCUAAUCAAUCUACAAACCAGACCAUCAUUUCGACCUUUAUAAUGAUUGAUUUUCACAACUUUUUAUGAAUGUCAAUUUCCCUUGUGGCACAAUAUAAAAAAAGAUGAGCCUCAUUUUCCCCACACUUUUGGAUGGUAGUCGGUUAGCAUAAGGGGUUCAUUCUAUUCUAUCAUUCAUUCAACCGCUGAACGUUUGUCCGAUCCCAACUGAGAGAUGGUCAGUAUUCACUGCUUAUCCUUUUGACUUCUGAAGGCUGUCGUUUAUAAAAGGGCAACAGCAUCAACGAAAAAAUACAUUUUAGAAGUCUAGGUAGAAUCUAAGGAGUUCAAUGAUGAAAAUUUCAAUAUUUUGUAUCAAACAUUAUUAUUAACCUAGAUAAAAUAUAACUUCAAAUUGACAAUGCGUCACAUUUACAAAUAUCAGUAAAAAUAAAUGAUAUGAAAUUUAUUGAACUUUAACAGGUUUAUCAUUUGCAAUAAGUUUUAUCUUCAGUCAUGGUGCCAUGUAUAUAAUUGAACUUCUAUAUGAGUAUUUGUCCUUAACAAUUGAAAGUUGUCAAUAUAUGAUUAAAUAAACAAAAGUGCAGUU
Long non-coding RNA from Leptinotarsa decemlineata (Colorado potato beetle), 1136 nucleotides. The record is from RefSeq and is a predicted model, not a curated record. NCBI's taxonomy places the organism in Eukaryota, Metazoa, Arthropoda, Insecta, Coleoptera, Chrysomelidae.